This 497-nucleotide ribosomal RNA is filed under the name uncultured bacterium. RNAcentral describes it as "partial 16S ribosomal RNA". It matches the Rfam family "Bacterial small subunit ribosomal RNA", at positions 28 to 507 of the family's 1533-position model. The record is from RNAcentral.
GAUGAACGCUGGCGGCGUGCCUAAUACAUGCAAGUCGAGCGAACGGACGAGAAGCUUGCUUUUCUGAUGUUAGCGGCGGACGGGUGAGUAACACGUGGAUAACCUACCUAUAAGACUGGGAUAACUUCGGGAAACCGGAGCUAAUACCGGAUAAUAUUUUGAACCGCAUGGUUCAAAAGUGAAAGACGGUCUUGCUGUCACUUAUAGAUGGAUCCGCGCUGCAUUAGCUAGUUGGUAAGGUAACGGCUUACCAAGGCAACGAUGCAUAGCCGACCUGAGAGGAUGAUCGGCCACACUGGAACUGAGACACGGUCCAGACUCCUACGGGAGGCAGCAGUAGGGAAUAUUCCGCAAUGGGCGAAAGCCUGACGGAGCAACGCCGCGUGAGUGAUGAAGGUCUUCGGAUCGUAAAGCUCUGUUAGUAGGGAAGAACAGAUGUGUGAGUAACUGUGCACAUCUUGACGGUACCUAAUCAGAAAGCCACGGCUAACUACGUG